Molecule: long non-coding RNA, 2089 nt
Organism: Ceratina calcarata
Lineage: Eukaryota; Metazoa; Arthropoda; Insecta; Hymenoptera; Apidae
Exons: 2
Source: RefSeq, a predicted model, not a curated record
CGGGGAGAUAUAGGAUACAGGCUGAACGUGACGAGUAGUGGGGCUGGCAAGAAGAAACGAGCAAGCGGCGCGCGGCCAGUUAUGGUGGUAAACCACGGUGGGGUUGAAAGGUGGCGUAGUCAUUUAUGGUUGCCGGUUGGAUUAUUAUCCGACCCGAUGCGACAGUUCAGUUCUCUAUCCGAGCAACCGAGAUUCAAAACGAAACGCGUUGCCGUGAGAUCAGUGGAGGCCGGUUCCUCAUCGUUGGCUUCAUUACGUUUGGCCGUCACUUCGUCGAUUGCGUAACGGUAUUGGGCCUUUGACGAAAUUCUGUUGGGACUGGAAUUUAAUUAAGGGGGACAUGCAAGGGUGACGGACCGAGAGACAUAGGAAACAAGAACUCGGGAGGUUCAGGGAUACUUUGAAAUAUUAACUGGAGUGAAAGGAAAAUUAAAAAGGGAGCAACUUGAAAAGCACUAGAAUAUAACUAUUAGAAUAGAAUUAAUUUAAAUACUAAAAUGAAAAGAAGUAUACAUUUAUGUUUGAAUUAAGAGACGUGAAUUGGAAGAUGUGCAAUAUAUAAGAGUAGUUGAGAGCUUAAUUAUUAGUUAUUAAAAAGUAGAUUUAAAAUAAAAAAUCGUAUCAACUAUAAAAUAGACAUUAAUGCUCUUUUCGUUUCUCAUUUUAACCUGUAAUUAAUUAUCUUAUAUGCACAAAUGAAAAGGCUGUGAAUAAGAAGUGAUGUGAAGUUAAUUGGAAUUGUUUAACUGAAUAAUUAAUUAUUAAAGCAGGAGGUCUAAACGAAGUUUCGGUAGACUGAAAGUACAUCUAAAAUCAGGGUGCGAACUGAAAACAGGAGUUCUAGGGGAGUUAAUUAAUGGCUAAAGAUCUCCGACGACACCGAUAUACUAAACGAAGACGCGUUACGAGAACGGUUGUCACGCUGUGAAUUGCGAAACGGAACCGAGACGUUAAUGAAAUUAAAUUCCACGUAGAGUUUUUUCUUCCAAAUUGUUUCGUAAUUAAUUAAGUCUUAAAAUGAAUUUAAAGGAAAAGACUUAUAACACGUCUACUAUUAAAAUUCAUGCAAUGGAUAAGACAUUCGAAUGUAGAAAAGGAAUCUAAAACUUCACAAAUAGAGUUAAUAUUUUAUGAAAAUUAAAGGAUUCUUCGAAGAUGGGUUCAAAGGCACUAUGGGUCAAAGAGUUUCUUGAAUUAAAAAAGGAAUGUCAAUUUUUGUAAUAAGAAAUUAGACCAGUAAGGUCGAUAUGGAGCUAUGGAAAGAAUUUGAUUAAUGAUCGAACGCAUCACAGAUUUAUGAUGAUACACUGUAAAUGAAGAUUGAUUUCUUUUACAAUUUGCAACAGUUUGCAAGAAACUUCAAAAGCAGUUUUAACAAUUCCUUCAUUUCAAGAGAUUAAUUAUUCAACCGAAGGCAUAAAUAUGUCGCAAAAAUUAAUGCUUCCAAUUAAAGCACGUAGAUUAGUUAUUUCAAAUUGAAUUAAUAACUGGUUUUCUGAAGUACUUUGCAAAAUGCAAAUUUGUGAAGUGUUUAAAUUUACGUUUCUCCUCAAAGCAAAAAAGGAUAGAACAUCCUAGAAAAUAAAAAAUGUUCUAAUUCUUAAUUUGACUCACGAUUGAAGGCUUGUUAUCUCUUUGACAAUGCUCGAGACGAGUAAGGAACUGUUCCUAGCUCGGAAGGUUACUUUUUUUUAAAUAAAAGAACAAGCUGGAAGAGCCUUGAAAGACAAGAAGGAAGGAUAUGUUCAUCUUUGAAAUCGCAAAGUGAAUCAGGCAAUUGAACUCGGAACAGAAGAAGAAUUCAGUCAGUAAUAGGCGCUUGACGAGACUCUUUAGCAGCACUUCCUAAAUGGGUUUCCCCUUUCUAAAGAAUUUCCGGAGAUAGCUUUAAAAAACAAUUGAAAGUUCGUUCGAAAAGACGAACUGCGUUUAAUCACCGAUUUAAACGCGGAAUUCUAUUAUUUAAAACAUAUCUUUGAAGAACUUGAAAUCGGUAGAAUAUUAUAAAAUAUUAUAAACUAAUUUACCUUCACAACACACGUCAGAAACUCGAUAAAUUAAAUGCCGAUUCUGGUACAAAUAAUGGAAA